AGACAACACCCACAGCUGUUCAGAGAUUGAUACCAGGUAAAAAUUUCGAGACGAAAUUUAUUUAAGAGGGGGAGAAUUGUAACACCCCUAUGUUCGGUAGUGCGUUCUACUGUUCCGGUGACCAGUGUUGUCCGGACAGCUAGGAUGCCUAGAACUACACUUCAAUAUGAGUGAGGAGACAUAAAAUAAUGAAAUACAAGAAAAGAAAAUACAAGAAAAACAAAGGAAAAAUAAUAGCAAAGAAAUGUAACCAAGUUAAGCGAGCCGAGAACCCUAGCGAUGGGUGACUGCACCGGGAAGUCGUGGCGUGGACCGUUGACUAGCCCUGGACCGUGGGGAACCCUGAAAAAUAUUUUUAGGACUUAAAUAAAUGUCUAUUGAAGUAUAAAUGCCAUUAGAAAUAUCAAAAAAAAAUUAAUUAAUUAGUACAAAGGAAAA
This 438-nucleotide unclassified non-coding RNA is filed under the name Hevea brasiliensis (rubber tree). Lineage: Eukaryota; Viridiplantae; Streptophyta; Magnoliopsida; Malpighiales; Euphorbiaceae. The record is from RNAcentral.